This is a non-coding RNA of Gossypium raimondii (Peruvian cotton), 122 nucleotides long. The record is from Rfam. Lineage: Eukaryota; Viridiplantae; Streptophyta; Magnoliopsida; Malvales; Malvaceae.
GAUGGGAGAAUAACAAAUCAAAAUUUUCCUCUUGAUUUUCAGUUUUUUUCUCAUGAAAAAAUUCAAAUCUAACUAAAAAUGCUAAAAAUCAGUAAAAAAAUCUGAUUUGUUAUUCUCCCAUU